RNAcentral lists this ribosomal RNA (392 nucleotides) under uncultured bacterium. Its description in RNAcentral is "bacterial SSU rRNA". It matches the Rfam family "Bacterial small subunit ribosomal RNA", at positions 28 to 421 of the family's 1533-position model. The record is from RNAcentral.
GACGAACGCUGGCGGCGUGCUUAACACAUGCAAGUCGAGCGGUAAGGCCCUUUCGGGGGUACGACGAGCGGCGAACGGGUGAGUAACACGUGGGUGACCUGCCCUCAGCUCUGGGAUAAGCCUGGGAAACCGGGUCUAAUACUGGAUAUGACUCCAUGACGCAUGUUGUGGGGUGGAAAGCCUUGUGCGGCUGAGGAUGGGCCCGCGGCCUAUCAGCUUGUUGGUGGGGUGAGGCCUACCAAGGCGACGACGGGUAGCCGGCCUGAGAGGGCGACCGGCCACACUGGGACUGAGACACGGCCCAGACUCCUACGGGAGGCAGCAGUGGGGAAUCUUGCGCAAUGGGCGAAAGCCUGACGCAGCGACGCCGCGUGAGGGAUGACGGCCUGUGU